GCUGAGGAGAGAGGGCUCCCUAAGCUUGGGAGCAGAGGGCAGAGGAAGAUGGGGAGGGCUAACUUUCAAGUGCAAGAAAGAGUGGGCAACGGCAGAGUGUUGAGAAGGCACUCAAGAAACAGAGUCGUGAGUGAUGGGCUCAAGGGAAGAAAGGAAAGUUGUGACAAGACCUAGAAGGUAGCAGAGCCUCAAGUGCUAGGCUAAGGAGUUGGAAUCUGCUCUGGGAAUGAAGUGGUUGGUGGGAGAUAAAUUACACCUGAAAGACCACACUUGAAGCCCAGCUCGUUAGGGAAUUGAUCAUGUUAAAGUAUGCUGUGACACCGCCUCACAGGCUGCAUUCUCCUGGUACAUCUUGGCUCCUAAAAUGACCUCAUGCCCUUAUCUCUGGUUUCCCUCCCCCCCAAGGCCACAGUGGUCCAGGAAAGUUGAAACCUGUGUCUGCAGGACUGGGCCCAUAAAAGCAAUCUGGCCUGUGAUAGGUUAAAAGUAACUCACUCCUCAUAAAUAAGCAAUAGCCCACCCCAAACUGAUAAAAGGACCUUCCUUUCUUUGUUCUCUCCUUCUGCUGCUUCUUCCUCCUCUCUCUCUCUCUCCUCUCCGCCUCCCGGCCUUUGUGCUCCGCCUGACUCUCUACAAUAAAGACCUCCUGUCGGACCUCUCGGACCUCUCGAACUACAUCUCCCGAGGUGCACCGCGAGAGAACUCACCUUGCAACCCAGGACUACAAUUCCCAGAGUUUCCUGCGCACGAAACGCCGUGGGAUGCAGUGCCAUUUCUCCCCCUGGUGGUAGUCUAAGGAGCAGCCGCCACGAAAAUAGGUUUCAGCGGAAGACUAUUGUUUGUACUCCGAUAAGUAACCCUCCGCCUCACCGUUCCUCAAAUAGCUCCCGGGCGUGCCUAGAAAUAACGCUGGCUUUUCUUUAUUCUCAGAAAAAAGAGGAGGAGGUCGUGUAUUGUUUUGUGUUCCCUUACCCUUUG
Molecule: long non-coding RNA, 978 nt
Filed under: Fukomys damarensis (Damara mole-rat)
Lineage: Eukaryota; Metazoa; Chordata; Mammalia; Rodentia; Bathyergidae
Description: lncRNA (ENSFDAG00000028112.1)
Source: RNAcentral